CUGCAGGGAGCCAGGCUUCUUCCACCUGAUCACCUAGUUUAACAGGCAAAGCCACAGGCCCAGCUGGGAAAGAGAGAGGAGAGCACUGGGUGGCCCUCCAAGCUCCUGCUCAGACUCCUUUCUCUGCCAGGCCUUCUUCUCUGGGCUCUCUUGCAAGUGGGUGGUGCUGAGCUCUGGGCUGUACUGGAUGCUGAUUUUCACCAGUGUUUUGAGGUCAGGUCUGGAGUGGGAGCCCCAUGCUGCCCUGAGCCCCAGUCUGCUGGUCAAUAAAACAGGAGCAGCCACAGAGACAGAGGCCCAAACAGCUGGGAAAUGGGAUCAACUAUACAGGACAGUGGAUGACGACUGCUUUCUUGGGCUCUGCAUAGUUCUCCCAAGGAAGGAACUUCUGGGGAAGAUUUCAGUUAACUGAGAUUUCUAGCCACUGUUCAGUUAGUUGAACCCAGUUCCUGAAACUGUGAAAUGUCAGAACUGGAAGGCUCUUAAAGACCAAUUGUCCCAUUUAAGCAAACAUGCUGGGUCAGGGAAGGGACCUUGUCAAGUCACACCCUGGACUCUACUGAGUGUGACAGACCCUCUACAGGAGGCCCUCUGGGGACCAGGUGUGGUUUGGGUGGACAGUGUUGGGGCAGGAGCCUUUGUGAGUCAGACAUUAGGAUCUCCAUAGCUGAAGGUAUUGGGAUGGAAUCUGUUCCAGCCAUGGCCCUUGCAGGAGCACUGAGAUCCAUCCCAGGUGAGAGUUGGACACCUCACUUAUGGCCAUAAUUAUGCCUGUGGGUUUAGACCAAGUUCCGUCUCUCUCUCAGGGUCUCCAUUUCCUCAUCUCUACAAUGAGAGGCUUAGAAAAGAUCUCUAGAGUCUCUACAAUCUUCAUUUUUAAAAGCAGUCAUGAUGUAUGGAUGAAAGCCAUAACUACUAUUUAUUAUCGAAAUAGCUAAGAUUGACCACACUCUCAUUCUGUGCUCAGCCCUGCACUGAGGCCUUUCCCUGUAUCAUUGUCCAUUAUCACAAGGCCCUCAGAUAAGGAGGCUCCAUGGUACAGGCGAGGAGGUGAAGCUCAGGGCAACUCAGGGACUUGUCCAUGAUCAGGCACCCAAGGGAAAGCACUGCACUCAUGUCUGUAGGACCCCAAAACCUGACCUUCAAACAUCAGUCUUAGCUCCCCAGCUGGUAUUGCCAGGGCUAGAACAAGAGAGAUCCCAAUAGAGAUGCCUCCACAGGGUAGUACUAGGUCCUGCCCUAGGAACAGAUGCUCUGGGGAGCUGUCCUGGGUGUAGAAGGCAGUAUCUGCUCUUGGUCCCUCUCCCAGCCCUGCCCCAUGCAACAGUACUGGCCACUUACAAGAGUCCUGGAGGGGAACUGAGGCCAACUUCACAUGCUUUGGGUGGGAAGAGAUGCCCAGAAAGGGUAUGUAUUAUGGCAAAAUGAGUGACUUGCCCAGGGCCACAUGGCCAGCUAGAGGCUCAACUGGGACUCAUGCAGUUGCCUGACUUUCAGGCCACAUCCUUUCUCCUCCAGCCAGUGUUUAUAGGAGAAAUCUGGGCAUUGAUUCUGGAAGCCCUCUUCCGUGCUUCUCUGCAGCCCUGCCACUGUCCCUCUGUGAGGUGCAGACUGCCAGUUACAUUCUUAGAGGAAAUCAAUUUCCCAUGAACAAAACAGCUAUCAUGUCUUCCUUUCUGCUAAACCCACUGCUCCAGGCUUGAAAGGCAGCAAAACACUACGGAUGACUCAAUGCUUAACCAAGCAGGAAAGAAGGUGACUCAAGGUCAGACAGACCUCUGGGACCAGUUCAGCAACGCUGUGGCAGCAACUCUGUCACUAAUCGCCUGAUGCUGCAGAUAACAGAGAGGAUCCUGGCCUUGGACUUUGCUGAGGAGGAGGAGGCAGUGAUUUCCACAACAAAGGGAGACCAGAGUGCCACCUUCCACCAGUCAUUCGCCCAGUAUCUACCGAGUGCUCAUUCUGUCCCAAGCAUUUUGCUAGGGGCCAGGGAACAAGUGGUGAUCAGAAGCAGAUUCCCAGUCCCCCAGGUGCAUAGUCUGGUGUGUGAGUGGAUGGUAAAUGGAGCGGCCAACAAACACACUGGAGCUCUCGGGUGCAGAGUGUCGUGAAGUUUCUGACGGGACAGUUACCCGGGAGAGGAGAGGAAGGGGAGGCAGAGUCAGUUCUGAACCCUAAAAUUGGCAGAGUAAAGGUUGUCACUGCCAAGGCAGGGGUGAAUUCUCAGGUCUCAUCCUUGGCGGCUGUGCAGCAUUAGACAGCGGUGGUCUUUCUGGUCUUUUUGAAGUUCUCUCUCCUGUGUACACCAAUCUGUUCUUACCUGGCCUCUCUGAACGCUUCUCCUCAGGCUUCCUUGUGACUCUACUGUGAAGCUUCCUCAGGGUUCUCUUCUCUCUCUGGGAGUCUCCUGCAGAAACUCCAUUUACUCACUGCUCCCAGCAUCUCCUGCCCUUUCAUCUUAGCCCCCUGCCCCUGCAGGCCAGGCCCCAGGAGCAUCUGGGGUGUGACCACUGGCGCCCCAGGCACAUCUGCUCCGCAGUUCAAACCUCAACCUGCCCUCAACUGCUGCAGUUAAAAGAAAAACCUGGACUCUGGCACCUCCUCCCAUUGCUUAGCAGCUUUGUGACCUUGGGAUGCUCCCAAAGCCCCUGGAGGCUCUGAUUCAUUAUCUCAAAAAUGAGGACAGGGCUCCAACUGCAUCAGCUAUUGUGAAGGUUGAAUGAAAUAGUGUUGCAUGGCUGGGCAUGGUGGCUUAGACCUCUCAGCCCAGCACUCUGGGAGGCUGAGACAGGAGGAGUGCAAGUUCGAGCCCAAGUGGUGCAAUUUCUGAGACCCUAUCUCCAAAAUAUAAAAAAGGGCUGGAGAUGUAGCUCAGUGCAAAGGUACUGGGUUCAGCCCCCAAUACCAAAAAUAGAGAGAGAGAGAAAGAAAGAAAGAAAAAGAAAGAAAGGAAGGAAAUAGUGUUGCACACUGUCCAGCACAGUGCCAACUCUAGCUGGACACGCAGCAUAUAUUCCCUCUGCUCUGGUCAACCUCGUCCUUUUCACCCUCUAUGUUUAUUUGCUCAACAGCUUUUGUCAAGUCCAAUCAUAAAUAUCUCUUGGGUUCAUUCCCUCCUGCAUCCCUUAUGUCAUUGCACUAAUGCAGGACCUUCUGACUGACCUUUUUGCUUUCAGAGUUCCCAUCUGAAAUAUGUUUCCUGGGGCCAAUGCCUCCCUGUACUAUGACACCCAGGUUCUUUAUCAAGUCCUACAAGCUACAUCCCAAGUUGGCUCCCUUUUCUCUGAGACCCUCCUGCCCACCUCCUCCCACACCCCUCCAGGCACUGUCCUUCCAGGAUGCCAGGAAUGGCCACACACCCUUCCUCCUCCGCAUCUCCUCUUGUCUGACCACUUUCACAGAUGAUGUCAGGUUAUGACCUUUGCCAUCUCCCCUCCCUGUACCAGGCUGGACACUCUUUUCUCUGUGCUUCUGCUGUGACCAUUACUGAUACCCUCUGAGGACACAGCAUAAAUGUCAUAAGUGUCAAGGACACCCUGUGUCCUUGGUAGAGGAUCUGCUUUUCCCACAGGGAAAACCUGAUAUCUGGCUCAUCUUUGUGUCCCCCGAAUUGGCACAGGGCCACACAUUUACUCCAGUAAUGAGGUCUCUGGUUCCUAGUGGGCUCCAGUGGUUUGGGAGACUCCACUAAUAAACCAAGAAAAACUGUGGGAAAAUUGCCAGCUGAGGUUAGCUGAGUUUCGUUUCUUUUCCUUUCUUUUCUUUUUGCCUAGUACAUUCUAAGAAGGCAGAGCCUCCCCUUGUUGGUCCUUGGCAAGCUUGGGGCCCAGGGGCUGAACUGUCUGUAUAGUGGGGCCUUGCCCAGUCCUGCUCUCCUUUAUUUUAGUCCACCCCCCCUCCAUAAUCUUAUUCAUCUGGUUCUUGCUUGCUAAGCAGUCCUGUUUCUCUAACUCAAACGAAAGAAGGGACAGACAUCCUCUGCUUUUCUUCCUUUCCCUUACUUCCCAUCUUCUAAACUUUACAGAUAUGUCAGAAUCUUAUAUUACUGCAGCUGAGGUUCAAGGUGGGUUGCUGUAUACAAAGUAUUUAUCGAUAGUGUCUCAAAAAACUAGAGGAAAAUGCUUUUUUGGAGGGGUGGGAAACAGAUGAACUGGGCUUUGCAGAAUGUCUGCUGUAAAUACCCAGUGGAAGGGUAGGAGCGUGGAGUUGUUCCCUUGGGGGAAGCGGGCAGUGGUCUUACUUUGAGUUCAACACACCCUCCCCUGUCUCUGCAGCCAGAAUGCUCCUCUAGGAGGAGGCCAGUUGUGGCUCAUGGGUCAGGUGAAGGCAGGCUAAGGGUGUAGGGUCAGCAGGGUGGACCUCCUGGUCUUUGGGAGGUCUACUCAAAUGAGGCUGAGUAGUCUACAAGACAUCCUAAUUGAGGCAGUGUAUUCCUCAAAGGUAGACCUUAGGUCCUCUGCAUUACAGUCCUCUAGGUGUUUGUUAAACCAGUGGACUCAGAAUCCAGAUCGAAGUGGUGAUGCCCAGCAGUCAGCAUGUGUGACAUCCCUGCCUGGGCCUUGCAUGCACACCUGUUUGUGGGUGAGCAGCUGCAUCUGGCUUGAAAUCCAGACUGGAGUCUUGAGUGGGAAAAGAAUGAAAAUAAGAAUUUUGGCCCACAAUCCAACUGCUGUGUUUUCUACAAAUAUAAAAUAGAACCUACUGUAAACCUAGCAACAAAAAUCAAAUCUCCAGCAAUCUAUAACACUUACUAAUUCUGUUUUGCUUCACCACUAACAAAGAUUUCUGUCUUUUUAAAAAAUUAUUAAUUGUAGUAAAAUUCACAAACAUAAAAUUUACCAGUGUAAACAUUUUUAAGUGUGAAGUUUAGUAGUGUUAAGGACAUUCACAUUGAUGUGGAAUGAAUCUCUAGAAAUCUUCUCAUUUUUCAAAAUUAAAAAAUUGAACCCAUUAAAUGAUGACAAAUUUCCUCUCCCUCCUCAACCUGGCAACCACUCUUCUUUCUGUCUCUAUGGCUUUCUCUGCUGUAGGUCCUUGUGUAAGUGGAAUCAUGCAAUAUUUGUCCUUUUUUUUCUUUUGGCAGGCUUAUUUCACUUACUGUAGCACACUUUCUAAAUGUAAAGAAUUAGUAAGGUACAAGCUGCUCUCAAAUGACAACUGUUUUCUGGGCUCCUCUAGCAGAAUUCUGAUUUUUGUUUUGUUUUGAGCAGUUGUUCUGGGCCCUCAGUUUGCCAAGGCCAAGUGCAGACCUACUCGUGCUUUGCCAGAGGAUUCAGCUGUCCUGGCCAGCUUGGGUCCUCAGUGACGACAGUCUUGCCAAUUUGUUAGAAGUCUUUGAACAUUUUCUUCCUGCAUAAUUUCUACGGUGGAGCUUUUAAAAUUUUCAUUCAAAGAAAAAGGGAGAAAAAUAGACCCAAGUAAGCCUUAGCUUUUGCCCCAAAAGCCAGAAAUCAGUGACUGUCUCCUUCCAGUCUGAAGAUGGUCCCCUUGGUAAUGAAGUCACUCAAUUCCUUCAACUAAAUGAUCCGUUCAGCUUUGAUAUACAAGUUUUAUCUCCUCUAGAAUUUGUGUUCUCAACCCUGAGCUCAUUAGUUCGGGGCCCUGUUGGAGUUUCAGGGUUAAGAAGGCUGGUGUGGAACCUGUCUAGCAAGUUCCCGUGAUCUGGUGAUACACUGUGAGGACCACUGCCCUGGGUGAUCUUUCAACUACAUUGUCCCAGUUCUGCCACAUUAUCUUUCUUGGUUGGAGGCCCCUUCCCCCAAAUCUAAUUUGGGCCUUUCUUCUUCUGAACAGUUUAAACAUUUAAAUAAACAUGAUGAAAUAUUUCUACAGCAAAGUAACAGAGUUCUCCCAAGGUUAGGAAACUCAGUGUGCCCAAAAUUUGUAUCCAUCUGUGCCUAGAAUUAGGGUGCAUUUUGUGAUCAGAACCAAGAGGUGAGUGACUCGAGCUUGGAGGUCAUUUUGUGGCUAGUCCUGGGGUAGGAUCCGAGUCCCCCAUGGCACACUGUAGCAUAGGGAGGACCUACCUGCCCACCUGGCUGAAAGUAGAACAUACCCAGAAAACGUGUUCAAAGUAUACCUGCAAAGUGACAAUGAAGGAACAUACUACAGUGGCCAAGGCUGGUGUGGCCCUACUUCAUUAUCCUCUUCCUUUUCUACCUGCCUUUGGAAAAACUUGAGUUGAAACAGUUAGUACCUGGUGUCUGCUUUCAUCUCCAACCACAGGCAAAUUCUUUGCUCUGAAGAUGUCCCUGGCAGGUGCAGCUUCAACCCUGUGGCAGCUCAGAAUGCAGCAUUAAUCCACCAAGUUCGCAAGAACACCCGAAGAUCUUGAAAAACUUAUUAAAAGAGAAAAUGGUUACCAUUUUACUAAAACAAGAAGAUAGCACACUUCACUUCCCAGAUCUACUUACCAGCAAGUUCCCUCAGCCCCAAGGUAGCUGAAGACUCAGAGGAAGGAAAAUGAAUUUUGAACCCCAGAAAUAGAUACUGUAACGCUGUGUAUCAAAGGCCAAACCAUUUUUGAACAAUGAAUCCCUCUUGCCUUUCACUUUAAUUUUAAAUUCAAUUCUAGUGAACUUGGUCUUGGUUUUUUAAUAAUGAAGCAAAUGAAGAGAAUGAUAACAGGUGCUAGAUAUAGCAAGAAAUAGCAGCUAAUAGUCUAAUAGUGAAUGUAUUACAAAGACCAAAUCCAUGUAUGUCAGCAACUGUCAUGUGACUGGAGGCCACCAAAUGGAGGAGCAGGGAUAUUAGGGAGAUUGUAACACCCUCCAGAUCAACAGAGCAUUUCUGCUCCAUUCAGCCUUUGACAUCCACAGCCACACACAAAACAGUAUACUGUCUUUAUGAAGGCAAGCAGGGAUCUUAUCCACUGUAGAAUUAUUUCCAUCCCCAAACACUUAUAGCAUGGUCAUCAAAGUCUUGGUGCUUAAAAGAUCAGUCUUCAGUGACCUCAGAGUUCCUGUAGGUGAAAUAGCUCAUUAUCUGGUGAUGCAGGACAUCUGAGAUCAGUAAAUGGCCUCUCUUCUACUUGCCUUUCCCUUCAGACAGUGGCAAUUACUGCUACCUCUCUCUCAAGAAAUAAGAAACAGGCCCCUUCUACCUUCACACCUCAAAGGGACCUUGUGUUGUGUUGAUGGCUUGGCCAGGACAUCCUCUUUCUGUACCUCUGCUCUACUUGAGCUAUUUGCACAUGGGAGGAAGCUUGCUAGAGCCAGGGCAGCCUCUGCAGCAGCUCAGGCCUGGGUUCAUGUAUGAACUUAAAAAUAUGACUGUUUGCUCACAAGUGAACACUUCCACUUUCUAAACACCUUCACCAUCCAUUUUUCACUGGGCUUUGUUGCAUCCUGGGAGGAGGAUAGGGCAGACAGUAGCAGUCCUAUUUGACUCCAGUCCAAGAAGAUGGUGGUGCCAUGCCCAGGUCACCUGUGAUUAAUGGUGGAGGUCUCCCCUUGGGUGCACAAGCUUUCCCAAAGUGGGAGAGGCUAGAGGGCAGGGAGAGGUGGCCAGUGUCCUACUCUAGCCCCUGUUCUGGCUUUCUUCUCAUUGGGGUGAUCUAGCUGAUCCGGAGUAUGGUCCAGGUCUAGGCCUUACCCUUGGACUCGCACCCUGUGCGUUGUCUCUGGAGGGGCUUGUUGAGUAUUCAUUCCUGCCUGGAGGCCAAGGCUAGGGCACCCAGCAGUGCCGGCUGAAAGUUCCUGGUGGGGCAAAGGGAGGCAGUUGUAUUUGACAGUCACCAGGGCCACAGACUUAAAUAAAAUGGAAGUGUGGAGGGAGUGGGCAUUGGGUCCCGUGACAUCAGUCCACCCCACUGCUGUGACCACUUGUGAGGAAGCUGGUGGGUCCUGAGUGACAGCUCCUGCUAGACCCUGGGAGCCAGUCCUAUUAUAUAUUUUUCUGGGGUGAUGCUUGGCCCUCAUUGUGGCUGACUUCUGAGCAAGUUCCUAGGGUGGAAGUCACUUUGUGAGGCAACCAGUCUUUUCUGAGGGCCCUACUCUCUGCACACAAGAGUUAGGGAGGUGGCAGGGGUUAGAUGGCUUGCAGAUUCCCUUUCUGGAUAGGACUGACUUCCCUGCAGAGAGCCAUAACAAUGUCAUAUUGUCAGAACUAUGAAAUAAGUGUACAUGUGAAUGUACUUUUUAAAUGAUCAUUUCAUCUAAAGAGGACCUUGGGUUGCUCAGUGGUUCAUCUGAAAUUGAUUCCCUGCCAUCUCUUCUCCAAACAAAACCAGGACAGAUCCUGGGGGCAGCAGAGAAGCUAAGGAAGCUGCUUGCCCAUUGUCUGCAGCUCUGUACCUGGUGAGGCUUCAGCCCAGAGGUCCUGCCUGGGUGGCAGACAGAGGAGCUUGUCCCAAGGGCUUGGUGGUAGUGACUCAUCUCUGAAUGGCUUCUAUCCAUUGCUUGACCCAUUCCUCCCUGCUUUCCUUUCCAAGAGCCAAGUCAUGCUAUGCGGUACUCCAUGGAGCCUUUUUCACUGGAGAAAGAAAGGGAGGUCCACUGCAUUUGCUGGGAUGUAGAGCAACAUCUUGUUUUGUUGAUUUGCCUUCCCCUUGGCCCUGGUGAGAAACAAGUUGUGUCAGUUGGAAAGACUUGAGGAGAAGAGGUCACACCACUACCCUAGUUUUAUGCAAAUAUUAUUGUGGGAGCAUUUGGUUCAUAAAACUCCAGCAAUAUAAUUCUAGCUGCGUGUGACUGUCCUUGAGUAGUGAUUUUGCAGUGAUGGCUGGCACUCUGGGCCCAAAAAUAUUAUCAGGGUACUUUGUGUCUGUCACUGUGUUUGAAAGACCCUUAAUUUCUACCCAAUAAAACCAAUCAAGUGGUUCAUCAGGCAAAGAGUCUGGCUGUGUGUGUGUGUGUGUGUGUGUGUGUGUGUAAGUAUCUCUCCAUGUAUGUGUGUAUGUGUGGAUUGGGUUGUACUGGGCUAAUGGCAGCACAGCCCAGUGAGGGGAGGUUGUCAGGAGUUCUCAGGAGCUCAAGACCAUCCGGGCACAUCUUUGGGAAGUGUUGGGGAAGACCUAUGGUGUCUGGCAGAAGUGGCAAUCUAAGCAGGGGAGGCAGUGGACUCACAGGAUGGGCUCAAAGGUGAGAUCAAUGCAAAGUAAAGUGGAGUGCUGAACUGACAGUCAAGAGUACAUGAGGACAUGGAGAGAGGACCUUGGGACUUCAUUAGCAGGGAAGAAGGUCCCUAGGGGCUGGAGCUACCUGGAGCAGGAGAAGUUUGAGAUACACUCAUGCUUAGACACAGAUCCUACAGCUCUUCAAACCUGCUCUCUCUAAGUAAAACCUCUCUAUCAAGAUCCAAAGUCACAUCAAAGGCACUUGAAUAGUAAUAACACCUCAUGAAGAAACAGGGCUGGGGUUAUACCUCAGCGGCAGAGUGCUUGACUAGGAUGAGUGAGGCCCCAUGUUUGAUCCCCAGAACUUAAGAAAAACCCACCACCAAUAACAAAUUUUUAUGUCAGUCUGUGUGAGUGCACAUAUAAUAGAACCAAAUCAUUUUUUUUUCAAAUUCAUGGGCAAACAGAUAAGAUGGCUUGCAUACCUCAGAUGUGCUUCUUUAGAAAGUUGCAAGCCUUUUCCAUAAAAUUUCUCAAGGACUGGUGUUUUUGUGCCCUCUUUGCCUUCAGACUUGUUUAGGGGCUGUUUAUUCCUUCUGGCUGUUGACCAUUCAGACAUCAGAUUCAGCCCUCUCCUUAGUGUCAGUUGUCACAGGUUCCAGAGUGAAAGGGAAUAGGGGAGGGCAGCUUCCCGUGGUCUGGGCAGCCUCCCGACAUAGGCAUUCCUCGGGGCCUGGCCCAGUUCCACUGCUCUGACCCCUGUCUUCCCUCUCAUCCUUCUUUGCCUCCCUGUCCUCAUCUCCCCACCUCCCUCCCGACAGUGAUCACAUUCCUUCUAUUUCCUCUCUGCAGCAGUUUAAGCAGUCUCUGAGUGCCAGGUCUGCCGAGCCCAACUUGCAGUUCAUCCUCCAUCUACCACCUUCCGAAGAUGUUUUCUCAAAGAAAACCCAUUUCCUCUAACUCAGGACCUUGCACCUGUAAGACAGGCGGCAGAACCACUGAGCUAAAUCCCCGGCCCCAUUUACCAUUUCUUGAGAGCUACAUUCUUGGUCCACUGGAGCUACACAGGACAUGCUCAGAAGGAGCUGCAAUCUGGGGGAAGAUCCAGCCAUUGGGGUGGACUGAAUUAUUGUUCCAAUCUCUCAUGCCUUGGUGUGUGAAUAUCCUUUGCCAUGGAAUUAUAGACCCUUCUAUAGAGGCAGACCACACUUGCUUUGCCCUUGGCUUCAGGCUUAGCCAUGUGUAUGGGUUGGUUUGAUUGAAGGAUGGUAAUAGAUGGGAUACAAGAGAAGGCCUCUAACAUGCUUGGAUUGUCAGGGUCACCACCCCGCUCCUCCUUGUAUUUCCACUAUGGCCAUGAGAAGAAUUUGCCUUUGGAGAUCUGCUGCUGCUUCAGCCUGGGCCAGAUCAAACCUGUGUCAAGCAAAGCUGCUUUGCAAAGCCCAGUCAGUCCCACAACUUGAUGCAGAGCUUCCAACUAAGCCCAGCAGAGAUGGGUUCGGCCCAGCCCCAGAGAAUGAGAAAUAACACUUGUGUUGCAGAGAAUUAUGUGAUUGUUUGUUACAUAGCAAGAGCUGGGUGGCAGAAAUAUGCAUGCAAGCCAGGUACAGUGACACAUGCCUGUAAUCCCAGCACUCUGGGAGGCUGAGGCAGGAGGAUUUAAAGUUCAAGUUCAGUCUCAUAAACUUAGGAAUUUUUCUAUCCUAUCUCAAAAUAAAAAUUUAAGAAAAGGGCUAAGAUGUAUCUCAUUGCAAAGGUCCUGUGUUCAAUCCCCAGUGCCAAAAAUAAAAAAUAAAAAAAUAAAAAAAAUAAAAGAGGUUUGCAGAAGGAAAGCAGGCGUGUUUAGCAAAUAGGUAUUUUUUCAGUUUAUGUAUAAAGUGGCUUUCUCUAAGUGGAGGUUAAGUCAGAUUAUAGAGGAUUGCUACUAUCAAGGAGUUAGAAUUCUUUUAGUGUUGAGGGCAUGUGUUAUUUUCUUGGCAACCCAGCAUCUGAAUCCCCUUUCAAAGUUAGCGAAGAGCUCAGCUCUGAAAGUAGGAGUUGAAACUACAAAAUACUCCCUUUCCCAGCCUCCUUGCUGGGAAAGGAGUGGGCACAUGACAGACACUCAACCAAUAAGUUGCACAGGGCCCAAGGUGAUUGGCAAAAGUCACAAGAGUGGAUUCUGGUGAGGGUGGCACCAGCAGGGGCAGGCAGCAGCUGCACACUGCACUUCCAGGUUCAGCUUUGGUGGCAAUGGGGUCCUCAUCGGAUCAGUACAAUUCUAGGCAUCAUCUCUAGGUUGUAGUCUCUUAGAAUUGUUCCUAGACUGAAAGGAAAUUAAUGAAAUCUCUUUUGAACUUUUAAAUAAAUCUUUUGUUUGAAAACUAGCCAGUGUUGGUUUCUGUUGCUUGCAGCUCAGAAUCCUGGCUGAUAAAAUAUGGUUGCUCUGGAGUAUAAGUGAAGGUUUCUGAGCUGAAGAGUGAUCGGAUCAAGCCAUUCAGCAGCAGGAGAAAAUUCCCAGAGGAGGAGGAAAAUGGACAUCAAGAUGAUAAGAUGAUUUUGGACAUUUGUGUCUGUGUGUGUGCACAUGCAAAUGGGUAAAUAGACCUUUCCCUAGGUAAAUAAAUUCACUGGGUAAAUAGAUCUUUCCCUAGUGUCAGAGGUUUGAGACUCAGUAAUCAUCCUGUCUGUCCUUUUGUGCUUUUGUCAGUACACAAAGCUGCCAGGAGUCCAAGAGCCAGGAGUCCUAGCCAUGUUGCACAGUUCAGGGCCUCAUGCUAAGUCUAGAUGGGAGGAGGCAGGGUCAUUGAGGCCUCUGCCUGCCUCUCACAUCUAGACCUUGGUCCUGUCUGGAAUGAGAGGUGGAUCUGCAAAGCAUCCACAGCCAGCCAGGUGAGGGUCCUCACAACAAGGGGGCCCAGGGUGGGGGUCUGGCCAUAUGGUCAGUCCUGCUGCAUGCGCAGGGUCCAGUGAGACUGUCACAUGGUCAUGGAAAGACAGCACGUGAGGCAGGCUCUGUGAGAGAGACGGGUGGAGCCCUUUUCCUGCUUCUGAGGCCAUGCCUCCUCGUGCUCCCUAAUCAUCCACCCUUCAGUUUUAGCUUUGCAGGAAUGUUCUACAAAUGCAAGCCUACUUUUAUUUCCCUACCUGGCCUCUUUCUCUUAGAAUAAUUCUUUUGAGAUUCAUCCAUGUAGUAGCAUGUGCCUCUACUUCCUUUUUAUUGCUGAGAAGUAUUCUUUCAUAUAGGUGUACCUUGAUUUAUUUACCCAUUGGCCAGUUAAUGGGUGCCUGGGUUGUUUUCAGCUUGGGACUUUUAUAAAUAAGGCUUUUGUGAAUAUUCACAUCCAGAUUUGUGUGGGUACACACUUUCAUUUCUCCUAAGUACAUGCCCAGGAUUGGAAUUUUUGCAUUGUGCAGGCGGUGUUUGUUAGCUAAAUAAGGAGUGCUGUUCUUUCGCCAGGUGGCUAGGCCAUUUACCCACCUGUCAGGAAUAUAAGAGUUCUAGUUGCUCCACUGAUUCUGUCAGUGCUUAGUAUUGAUUGAGACACUGCUUUCUUAUUCAUGUGUUCUAAUGUCAUGGGAUUCUCUAACAAAUAUUUUAAUUUCAAUUUUUGUAAAAAAAUUUAAUAAAUAUUUUUGUCUAAAUGGG
RNAcentral lists this long non-coding RNA (12683 nucleotides) under Heterocephalus glaber (naked mole-rat). Its description in RNAcentral is "lncRNA (ENSHGLG00000035855.1)". The record is from RNAcentral. Lineage: Eukaryota; Metazoa; Chordata; Mammalia; Rodentia; Bathyergidae.